Long non-coding RNA from Humulus lupulus (European hop), 580 nucleotides. RefSeq lists it as uncharacterized. The transcript is spliced from 4 exons. NCBI's taxonomy places the organism in Eukaryota, Viridiplantae, Streptophyta, Magnoliopsida, Rosales, Cannabaceae. The record is from RefSeq and is a predicted model, not a curated record.
CAGUAAUUUUGUAUUUGUGUUUAUUACCCUUGUCUAGUCCUUUCUCAUUUUCUCAAGAGUAUUAUGUAUCAUUAAUGGAGAGGAGCUCGAGCUAGAAGAUGAUGAGUUGUUUGGAGUAGUUCCGGAGAGCCAUGAGUUUGCAGGAGAAUGGGUUGUAAUAUUUCGAGAUGGGACAUACUUGACCUUGAAAGAAGUUUUUGAGAGUCUGGAUCUGAGACAAUAGCACAUUUCAUCGUUUUGACAAGUUUAAUCUCAAAUACAAUCCCUGUGGCCAAAGUUGGCUCAUGGAGAUUUUUCCUAAAGCAUGACAAUCUUAUUCAAGGUUGUUGGGUUGGAUUUAGUGGAUGAUGAAAGAAAGCCUGAAAGAACCCCCACAAAACAUAUGCCCACUCUAGAUUAGUGAACCAAUGCCUUUAAUCCUGCCUUUUCUUACUAUUUGUAUUACUGUUAUGAAAAUCUCUACAAAUUAAACAAGGUAUUUCAUAACAGUACACAACUUUUUAGAAAAGUUUCUCUUUACACUGUCUAUAAUUUUUAUGUAAUGAUUUUUUUUGUUUAACACCUUAUUGUUUCUCUGAUA